RNAcentral lists this unclassified non-coding RNA (21 nucleotides) under Chlamydomonas reinhardtii. RNAcentral describes it as "small RNA Cre_3975". Lineage: Eukaryota; Viridiplantae; Chlorophyta; Chlorophyceae; Chlamydomonadales; Chlamydomonadaceae. The record is from RNAcentral.
UUGGAGGGGGACCUGCGGCCC